UACGAAGGGGGCUAGCGUUGUUCGGAAUUACUGGGCGUAAAGGGCGCGCAGGCGGUUUCUCAAGUCAGGCGUGAAAGCCCCGGGCUCAACCUGGGAAUCGCGCUUGAGACUGGCACGCUCGAGUUCGGGAGAGGAUGGUGGAAUUCCCAGUGUAGAGGUGAAAUUCGUAGAUAUUGGGAAGAACACCGGUGGCGAAGGCGCUCUGCUAGGCCGCAACUGACACUGAGGGACGAAAGCUAGGGGAGCGAAUGGG
This 253-nucleotide ribosomal RNA is filed under the name uncultured bacterium. RNAcentral's name for it is "partial 16S ribosomal RNA". It matches the Rfam family "Bacterial small subunit ribosomal RNA", at positions 524 to 776 of the family's 1533-position model. The record is from RNAcentral.